CUGACAGCCCUGAGUACUGAAGUCCCUUAUUUAUCCACAAAACAAGUGGAACUGGAUCACUGGCAGUACAGCCUUCCCCAGACUGUCCUGCCAAUGUGCCCCGACCUGAACCUGGGGUGGACCACCUUUCUGCAAAAGGUUACUCUAUUUCCUGCGGCCACUUUGCUGAGACUGCC
Molecule: small RNA, 176 nt
Filed under: Gopherus agassizii (Agassiz's desert tortoise)
Lineage: Eukaryota; Metazoa; Chordata; Testudines; Testudinidae
Description: TUC338 (ENSGAGG00000013539.1)
Source: RNAcentral